UGAGCCCAGGAAGUCGAGGCUGCAGUGAGCUAUGAUCAUGCCACUGCACUCAAGCCUGGGCGACAGAGCAAGACUCUGUCUCAAAAAACAGGUAAAGCUGAGAAAAGAGGAGGCCUGUUCUUUCACUGGGUGGUUGUAAGCAGCCAUGCAGAAUGCCCAAGGUUUUCCAAAGAGUUUCUUCUUUCUGAAAGGAUCUGAGUCCCCAAAACUUUGGGGACUAGUCUCAUGGUUGAAGGCAUUUUUCAUGAGGGCAUAAUCCUUUUAUAAAAAAAUUAUUUCAUAAAACCUGCAAUUUAAAAAAUCUAAAGUGUAAGGGCAGCAAAAGUUAACAUUAAUUAAAACAAUAUGUUGGGAAUAUGGGUAAGCUAUAUUUCAUGUUUUUCUUUGCAUUGUGAAAUAUUUCCUAUGUGUAAAAAAGAGAAAAAAGGAAAAUAAACCUCACCUACGGUUUCUUCACAAAGGUCAGGCAAGAAAGAAUUAUUCAGGAACUCACCCAGGCCCUCCAGAGUGAGGUGCCCCCAGGGCUCCCUGGAAUGGCCCUAGCACGCACACGGCGGCCACCUUGGCGACCACAGUGGCGGCACGGGACUCUGUCUCUUUAGAGGCCCAGAUGGAGACAGUGCACCCCGAGUUGCUCAGGCCUCCCCUGAACCUGUUACAACCUUCACUAAAUCCACAACCACACACGGCUUCAUGGGUCCCACGUCAGCAAAACGUCCCAUGUCAGCUGCUUUCGACCUUCAUUUCUUUGCUUUCAGAGGAAAAAACACCCCAAAGACAGGUAACAAGUGUGACUUGACAGUACUGCGACAAUACUCCUGUUUGUGAAACUCGGAACACAAGAAUCUGGAGGCUGUGUCUCCAGCAAAUGUCCAGAGCGUACUGUUUUAUGUAUUCAAAAAAACAAAACAGAGAAAUAAGAAGAGGUCAAUAAAUGUCCCCAAAAACCCUGGAGAGAUACUAACUUUCAAUCUAAGAAAAAGAACAGCUUCCCAGGGCCCUGCCAGUGAGACACAAGGACACAGAAUGUAACUUGCUGAUGCCAGGUUAAAAUGAAAUUAACUACAUCAGAAAAAACCUCCGCAGACCAUCAAGAGAUGUGUCUAACGUUCUCAUCUACAAAACCAGGUUAAAUAUUUAGCCACACUCAUCACGUCAUCUGCUUGGGGGGUACCCAGCCCCCAAAGACUCAAGUGGCCUUCACAACAGGUGACACCCCUCAAGGGGCCUGAGACCUCCUGCCUGGAAGGACACCAGCCUUGCUUGGAGUCUCCGGCAAGCCCUGAGGAAGGUGAGCCUCCCCAAGGAAAUCACGUACGUUUGACACACAGCAGCAGCAAAUACUCACCGUGGAAAAAGAGCCUUCCCCAAGAAUUUUCCCAAACUUGAAGUCCUCAGGCCGCUUCUUCCGAGGCUGCGGCGGAGGCUGGGCAUGCUGCAGGGAGCCGGCGCCGGGCCGAGGCUCGGCUGCAGUGCCGUCCAUGGCGGGGCCCUGCCUGCUGCCACCAGGAAUGCCAGGGGGCGUGCUGGACUCAGUCUGGGUCCUCACCAUUGAUGGGGAUGGGCAGGAACAUAACACCACGCUGGACUGGAUGGGCACGGCGUCAUACUAGGCGACAAAGAGGAAAAGGAAGUAAGGCUCAAGGCAGCUGCCUUGCUCUCAAUGCACGGACUAAGGUUUAAGGACCUCAUUUCAACGCUCAAAAACAAACCCCAAGCACAGGGCAGGCCAGCUGAGCCCCGCGGUCUGCUGUGAGCUGCCGGCCUCCUCUCCUGAGUCCUGCCCGUGCCAUGGCUCCCCGCUAAUCCACCAGGCAGCGCCUCGCCCUCCUCCUGUCCCUCGCGCUGCCUGAGCCUCCAGCCAACUCAUCCCAAGGCCAAGGUAACCUGAGCAGAGAUAGCACGGCACAUCUUUAAUUGUGGGGGGGAUGGAGAGAUAAGAGUGAUGAUCGCAUGUGUUUACAAUACACAGAGACGCCCAGUGCUGGCAAGACUAUAAUAAAGCGAGCGUACUCACACCACUGCGGCUGGCACCAAAAACCGGGAUUGCAGUGGAAAUGUUUUUGGAAAGCAGUUUGGCAACUGUCAACAAAGCGACUACAGAACAGUUGUCAAUGAGACACAGAAAUACGAAGGAGAGGAGGGAGGGCAGAAACCCAGUUAACAAUGUAAGCGGGCACGGAGGGAAGAUCAGCGUGCAAAGCUAGGUCGGCAAGACGUGCAAGGUGCACCCACAGCCAUAACAAUCCCUCCCCAGACCCCAACGUGUCCUCACGGUGGUGGCAGUGGCCCCCCGCACUACAGAAGAACAAUGCGAGGCGAGCUCAGGCGCGCUGAUGGUGGUUUCCGAUACAACUCCCCACUCAAAGAACCCCGGAGAGCUCUUGAUUCCAUCUCUCAGUAGGGUCCUGAAGUCCAUGCUGUCUGAAGACACAGGGUCUCCCCCUGCGUCUGUGCCAGGACAGAGGGACUGCCACCAGCCAAGCUGCAAUCCUUUUAAACGCUAAAAACGGCCGGGCUUGGUGGCUCAUGCCUGUAGUCCCAGCAGUUUGGGUGGAUGAGGCGGGUGGAUCCCCUGUGGUCGGGAGUUCAAGAUCAGCCUGACCAACACGAAUAAACCCCUUCUCUACUAAAAAUACAAAAUUAGGCCGGGCACAGUGGCUCAGGCCUGUAAUCCCAGCACUUUGGGAGGCAGAGGCGGGAGGAUCACCUGAGGUCAGGAGUUCGAGACCAGCCUGACCACAUGGAGAAAUCCCGUCUCUACUAAAAAUACAAAAAAACUAGCCGGGCUUGUUGGCGCAUGCCUGUAAUGCCAGCUACUUGGGAGGCUGAGGCAGGAGAAUCGCUUCAACCUGCAAGGCAGAGGUUGCAGUGAGCUGAUAGCAUGCCAUUGCACUCCAGCCUAGGCAACAAGAGUGAAAUUUCGUCUCAAAAAAAAAAAAAAAAAAAAAUAGGCCGGGCGCAGAGGCCAAAGUGGGUGGAUCACUUCAGCCCAUGAGUUCAAGACCAGCCUGGGCAAACACAGCAAAACCCCACCUCUACUAAAAAUAUAAAAAUUAACCAGGUACGGUGGCAUGUGCCUGUCGUCGCAGUUAAUUGGGAGGCUGAGGUAGGAGGAUUACCUAAGCCCGGGGAGGUCGAGGCUGCAAUGAGCCAAGAUCACAUCACUGCACUCCAGCCUGGACGACAGAGGGAGAUCCUGCCUCAAAAAUAAAAAAUAAUAAGUAAAUAAAUAAAAAGAAUAUAUUCACUAUUUUGCUUAUCAAAGUCUCUUAAAGGAGGUGACUUACCUACGCUAUGGACCCAAUUACUCAGCCAAUAAGAGGACACGGUCCCUGCCCAUAGAAAGCUGAUGUCCAGCCUGACCUCAAUACAAAACCAUCCAGUUAAAGUGGUGGGGGUGGCUAUGCAGAGACGGGCGGGUGCCGGGAGAGUCAAGGGCAGCCCCUUGGCUGGCCAGGGGCUCAGACAGACCAGCUGGGGAGAUGCAUCACUCGCCCAGGAAAACUGAUGACAGCUUAGAUGGCACUGCAAGAGCAGGGAGGAUCACACUCAUGUCCAGAAAGUGAAACAUAAAACAGCUAAACAUGUACCACACAGCUUUCAUACAAAAAUUUUAUAUACACAAAUUUUGAAAAAAUAGAGAUGGGGUUUUGCUUGUUGUCCCGGCUGGUUUCGAACUCCUGAACUCAAGUGAUCUGCCUGCCUCAGCUUCCCAAAGUGAUGCAAUUACAGGCAUGUGCCACCAUGCCUGGUGACUUUUUUUCUGUUUUGAGACGGGGUCUCACUCUGUCUCCCAGGCUGGAGCUCAGUGGCAUGAUCAUAGCUCACUGCAGUCUCGACCUCCUAGGCUCAAGUGAUCCUCCCACCUCAGCCUCCUGAGUAGUGGGACCACAGGUGUGCACCACCGUGUCCAGCUAAUUUUUGUAGAGAUGGGGUCUCAUCAUGCUGCCCAGGCUGGUCUCAAACUCCAGGGCUCGAGUGAUCCGCCAUCCUUGGCCUCCCAAAGUGCUGGAUUACAGACCUGAGCCACCACACCAGGCUGCCCCACACAUUGUAAAGUUUCGCUUCCCUCUAAUGUCAGAUUCCAAAGACAGCAGCCUUCAUGAGUCAGAAAGAAACAUCGGUCAUUUUGAAAUCAACAUCCAACUGAAGUGUAGAAAGGCCUCUGGAUUUUUGAAACGGCAACAACAGAUGAUGUAAUACAAAGACGCCCCCACCCCACUGCUUUCCCACUGCAUGCUUUACAUGACAUGGCACAGCUUCCACGCCAGCAGCUUCAAUCAUGUAAAGCGAAUGCAGUCCCAUCAAGACCACAGCAUUGGCUGAGCAGCUACUCCAUGCUGGGCACCGUCCUGGGCACUGGAAGUACAGCAGAGAACGAAACCAAGACCACACCCUCCAGAAGCCUGCAUUCCAGCAGGACAGACAGACUUCCAUACACAGAGCAGGAAAAUGCACAGCGUGUCAGAUGAUGAUGAUUACUAUGAGAAAAAUAAAGCAGGCAAAGAGAACAGGACUAUUUGGAUGAGGGUGGUGCAAAUUCAAAUAAUCAGACAGCCUUUGCUGGGAAGGUGAUAUCUGAGCAAAGAUUCGAGAAGGUGGGGAGAGCCCCGGAGCCUUCCCCGCAGAGCAGAGGAGGCCCGGGAAGCUCUGGACUCAUAGCGGUUCAGCACGGCCACGACACGGCCACUUCCAGACAGAGCCCCUGGCUGCUGGGUAGGGACCGCAGCACCUCAGAGAACCCUUUCUGGGGUCACUUCUGGCACCCUCUGCAAACCUCAAGGGGGAGCGUGAGGCUGGGGGCUGUCCAUCAGGGUCCAGGCACCUCCUGAAGGAACCUCUCAAAGCCAGCCGAUCACCGGCUCCAGACCCACGCUGUCAGACAUCUCUGUGGCCACCAGACCACUGCCACUCUCACGGGUGUGAUGACAUGGGACCUGCCUACUGGUAGUCUUCUGCCUUCGUGGAAUUCUGCAACUUCCUUCCUGCCUCGGCCACAGCAUGUCAGCCAAGCACCUGUCAGGGUCCCUCCCUGGCAGGACGAUGUUUAGAAGCUCAACACCGUGCUCCUGCCUCCUCUUCAGACCCAUCAGAACUUGCUACCAUGGGUGUGUUUUAAUAAAUAACUUCAUUUCUGCAGCAAAUAAAUAAAUAAAUAAAUGUAGUUGCAAUAUUGCCUUUAAAAGCACUUUUAAGCAUCAAUUGUGAAA
This 5213-nucleotide long non-coding RNA is filed under the name Homo sapiens (human). RNAcentral describes it as "non-protein coding lnc-PDPK1-3:2". The record is from RNAcentral. Lineage: Eukaryota; Metazoa; Chordata; Mammalia; Primates; Hominidae.